Molecule: unclassified non-coding RNA, 203 nt
Filed under: Borreliella burgdorferi (Lyme disease spirochete)
Lineage: Bacteria; Pseudomonadati; Spirochaetota; Spirochaetia; Spirochaetales; Borreliaceae
Description: partial 5S-23S ribosomal RNA intergenic spacer
Source: RNAcentral
UUUAUUUUUUACUUUAAACUUUGAUUUUAUUUUUAUGUUUUUUAAAUAUUGGUGUUUUUGAAUGUGUUGUUUAAAUAACAUAAAAAAUAAAAUAUAUAUUGACAUGUAUUAAACAAAGAUAUAUAUUAUUUUAUGUUGUAUAAAUAAAUUGGCAAAAUAGAGAUGGAAGAUAAAAAUAUGGUCAAAGUAAUAAGAGUCUAUGG